Cinara cedri is the source of this 913-nucleotide non-coding RNA. Lineage: Eukaryota; Metazoa; Arthropoda; Insecta; Hemiptera; Aphididae. The record is from the annotation of a GenBank genome assembly.
UCGAAAUUUUGAAGAAUAUAUUCAAGGAUUUAUUCGAGAUAAUCCUAUUCACAUAUGUUGUGAACUCAUGGAAAACAGACCGCCUUCUGAUAAUGAUGACGAUGAUGAUGAUGAUGAUGAUGAUGAUGAUGAUGAUGAGGAGGAGGAAUCGAAAGAAAUUAUACAAUUGGGUUAUUUUAAUCCCGAACUUUUAGCCAAAAUUGCUGAAUCCCUUGGGGAACCUGUACCCGGGUUGGUGCGAAUAGUUGGUUGUGUUAAUAGAAAAUUGAAAAUUGUAAAGGAAACUAAAGAAUGAUAAACUUGCAACUAAAUAAAUAUAAAACAUCAACAUAUUUGUUUAUUUACCUUAAAUAUAAUUUCCUACAUUUAAGUAUAGCUUUUUCAUUAAUUAUUUCAAGCUGUCUCUGCUAUUUUUUUUUUUUUUGUUAAUAAGAACUUAAACUUUUUACUUUUAAUAUUGUAUUUUUUACAAUUUUUGUUUUAUUUUUGCAUGAUGUUAUAUAAUUGGGUUACUUUAAUCCCAAAGUUUUAGCCAAAAUAGCUGAAUCCCUUGGGGAACCUGUACUCGGGUUGGUGCGAAUAGUUGAUUGUAUUAAUAGAAAAUUGUAAACCAAACUAAAUAAAUAUAAAACAUCAACAUAUUUGUUUAUUUACCUUAAAUAUAAUUUCCUACAUUUAAGUAUAGCUUUUUCAUUAAUUAUUUUAAACUGUCUCUGUUAUUUUUUUUGUUAAUAAAAACUUAAACUAUUUACUUUUAAUAUUGUAUUUUUUACAAUUUUUGUCGAUUUAGUAGAAUUAGAUAAACAAUUUUAUUUAUUGUAACUAAUAUGUUGUGAUAUGUUACAACAUUACAAUAAAAAUAAAGUAUUUAUUAUGUGUAUUGAUGUUGAUAUGACAUUGAGAAGUGAUUUUU